AAAACAUCGCCUCCUGCAACGCAGCCAAGUAUAGGAGGUCCAGCCUGCCCAGUGACUACAAGUUCAACGGCCGCGGUAUUUUGACCGUGCAAAGGUAGCGCAAUCACUUGUCUUUUAAAUAGAGACCUGUAUGAAUGGCUAAACGAGGGCUUAACUGUCUCCCCUUUCAAGUCAGUGAAAUUGAUCUACCCGUGCAGAGGCGGGUAUAAUUAUACAAGACGAGAAGACCCUUUGGAGCUUAAGGUACAAAACUCAACCACGUUAAGCAACUUAAUAAAAAGCAAAAACUUUAUGGAAUAUGAUAUUUUACCUUCGGUUGGGGCGACCACGGAAGAGAAAAAAUCCUCCGAGUGGACCGGGACAAACCUCCUAAAACCAAGAGACACACCUCUAAGCCACAGAACAUCUGACCAAACAUGAUCCGGCCAUAAAAGCCGAUCAACGAACCAAGUUACCCUAGGGAUAACAGCGCAAUCCUCUCCCAGAGUCCAUAUCGACGAGGGGGUUUACGACCUCGAUGUUGGAUCAGGACAUCCUAAUGGUGCAGCCGCUAUUAAGGGUUCGUUUGUUCAACGAUUAAAGUCCUACGUGAUCUGUUC
This 599-nucleotide ribosomal RNA is filed under the name Capoeta capoeta (Transcaucasian barb). RNAcentral describes it as "partial 16S ribosomal RNA". It matches the Rfam family "Bacterial large subunit ribosomal RNA", at positions 1810 to 2612 of the family's 2925-position model. The record is from RNAcentral. Lineage: Eukaryota; Metazoa; Chordata; Actinopteri; Cypriniformes; Cyprinidae.